This is a non-coding RNA of Enterococcus haemoperoxidus ATCC BAA-382, 116 nucleotides long. NCBI's taxonomy places the organism in Bacteria, Bacillati, Bacillota, Bacilli, Lactobacillales, Enterococcaceae. The record is from Rfam.
AAACGUUACAAGUUCCCGAAAGGAUUUGUUUAGAGCUGUAUAAAAGUAUAUGUAAUGCUUUGAUUGCUUGACAAAGAUGCCUUGUAACCGAAUAUGAUUAGGGGGAAUACAUUAUG